Molecule: long non-coding RNA, 1065 nt
Organism: Oncorhynchus keta (chum salmon)
Lineage: Eukaryota; Metazoa; Chordata; Actinopteri; Salmoniformes; Salmonidae
Exons: 4
Source: RefSeq, a predicted model, not a curated record
UCGUGAGACAGGUUAGUUCUAUCCUACUGAUGAUGUGUUGUUGCUGGGAUUAGACCGUCGUGAGACAGGUUAGUUCUAUCCUACUGAUGAUGUGUUGUUGCUGGGUUUAGACCGUCGUGAGACAGGUUAGUUCUAUCCUACUGAUGAUGUGUUGUUGCUGGGUUUAGACCGUCGUGAGACAGGUUAGUUCUAUCCUACUGAUGAUGUGUUGUUGCUGGGAUUAGACCGUCGUGAGACAGGUUAGUUCUAUCCUACUGAUGAUGUGUUGUUGCUGGGUUUAGACCGUCGUGAGACAGGUUAGUUCUAUCCUACUGAUGAUGUGUUGUUGCUGGGUUUAGACCGUCGUGAGACAGGUUAGUUCUAUCCUACUGAUGAUGUGUUGUUGCUGGGUUUAGACCGUCGUGAGACAGGUUAGUUCUAUCCUACUGAUGAUGUGUUGUUGCUGGGAUUAGACCGUCGUGAGACAGGUUAGUUCUAUCCUACUGAUGAUGUGUUGUUGCUGGGUUUAGACCGUCGUGAGACAGGUUAGUUCUAUCCUACUGAUGAUGUGUUGUUGCUGGGUUUAGACCGUCGUGAGACAGGUUAGUUCUAUCCUACUGAUGAUGUGUUGUUGCUGGGUUUAGACCGUCGUGAGACAGGUUAGUUCUAUCCUACUGAUGAUGUGUUGUUGCUGGGUUUAGACCGUCGUGAGACAGGUUAGUUCUAUCCUACUGAUGAUGUGUUGUUGCUGGGAUUAGACCGUCGUGAGACAGGUUAGUUCUAUCCUACUGAUGAUGUGUUGUUGCUGGGAUUAGACAGUCGUGAGACAGGUUAGUUCUAUCCUACUGAUGAUGUGUUGUUGCUGGGUUUAGACCGUCGUGAGACAGGUUAGUUCUAUCCUACUGAUGAUGUGUUGUUGCUGGGUUUAGACCGUCGUGAGACAGGUUAGUUCUAUCCUACUGAUGAUGUGUUGUUGCUGGGAUUAGACCGUCGUGAGACAGGUUAGUUCUAUCCUACUGAUGAUGUGUUGUUGCUGGGUUUAGACCGUCGUGAGACAGGUUAGUUCUAUCCUACUGAUGACGUGUU